RNAcentral lists this ribosomal RNA (528 nucleotides) under uncultured bacterium. RNAcentral describes it as "partial 16S ribosomal RNA". It matches the Rfam family "Bacterial small subunit ribosomal RNA", at positions 355 to 900 of the family's 1533-position model. The record is from RNAcentral.
UGGGGGAUAUUGCACAAUGGAGGAAACUCUGAUGCAGCAACGCCGCGUGAAGGAUGAAGGUCUUCGGAUUGUAAACUUUUGUACUUGGAGACGAUAAUGACGGUACCCAAGCAGCAAGCUCCGGCUAACUACGUGCCAGCAGCCGCGGUAAUACGUAGGGAGCAAGCGUUGUCCGGAUUUACUGGGUGUAAAGGGUGCGUAGGCGGCUAUGCAAGUCAGUUGUGAAAACUAUGGGCUCAACCCAUAGCCUGCAAUUGAAACUGCGUGGCUUGAGUGAAGUAGAGGUAGGUGGAAUUCCCGGUGUAGCGGUGAAAUGCGUAGAGAUCGGGAGGAACACCAGUGGCGAAGGCGACCUACUGGGCUUUAACUGACGCUGAGGCACGAAAGCAUGGGUAGCAAACAGGAUUAGAUACCCUGGUAGUCCAUGCCGUAAACGAUGAUUACUAGGUGUGGGGGUCUGACCCCCUCCGUGCCGGAGUUAAGCACAAUAAGUAAUCCACCUGGGGAGUACGACCGCAAGGUUGAAAC